Molecule: ribosomal RNA, 497 nt
Filed under: uncultured bacterium
Lineage: Bacteria
Description: partial 16S ribosomal RNA
Rfam family: Bacterial small subunit ribosomal RNA
Source: RNAcentral
GAUGAACGCUGGCGGCGUGCCUAAUACAUGCAAGUCGAGCGAACAGACGAGGAGCUUGCUCCUUCGACGUUAGCGGCGGACGGGUGAGUAACACGUAGGUAACCUACCUAUAAGACUGGGAUAACUUCGGGAAACCGGAGCUAAUACCGGAUAAUAUUUCGAACCGCAUGGUUCGAUCGUGAAAGAUGGCUUUGCUAUCACUUAUAGAUGGACCUGCGCCGUAUUAGCUAGUUGGUAAGGUAACGGCUUACCAAGGCAACGAUACGUAGCCGACCUGAGAGGGUGAUCGGCCACACUGGAACUGAGACACGGUCCAGACUCCUACGGGAGGCAGCAGUAGGGAAUCUUCCGCAAUGGGCGAAAGCCUGACGGAGCAACGCCGCGUGAGUGAUGAAGGUCUUCGGAUCGUAAAACUCUGUUAUUAGGGAAGAACAAACGUGUAAGUAACUGUGCACGUCUUGACGGUACCUAAUCAGAAAGCCACGGCUAACUACGUG